GACGAACGCUGGCGGCGUGCUUAACACAUGCAAGUCGAACGGAAAGGCCCUGCUUUUGUGGGGUGCUCGAGUGGCGAACGGGUGAGGAACACGUGAGUAACGUGACCUUGACUUUGGGAUAACUUAAGGAAACUGGGGCUAAUACCGGAUAGGAGCUCCUGCUGCAUGGUGGGGGUUGGAAAGUUUCGGCGGUUGGGGAUGGACUCGCGGCUUAUCAGCUUGUUGGUGGGGUAGUGGCUUACCAAGGCGUGGACGGGUAGCCGGCCUGAGAGGGUGACCGGCCACAUAGGGUCUGAGAGACGGCCCAAGCUCCGACUGGAGGCAGCAGUGGGGAAUAUUGCACAAUGGGCGGAGGCCUGAUGCAGCAACGCCGCGUGCUGGAUAGCGGCCUUCGGGUUGUAAACCGCUUUCGCCUGUGACGAAGCGUGAGUGACGGUAAUGGGUAGAGAAGCACCGGCUAACUACGUG
RNAcentral lists this ribosomal RNA (468 nucleotides) under uncultured bacterium. Its description in RNAcentral is "partial 16S ribosomal RNA". It matches the Rfam family "Bacterial small subunit ribosomal RNA", at positions 28 to 507 of the family's 1533-position model. The record is from RNAcentral.